RNAcentral lists this long non-coding RNA (367 nucleotides) under Mytilus galloprovincialis (Mediterranean mussel). The record is from RNAcentral. Lineage: Eukaryota; Metazoa; Mollusca; Bivalvia; Mytilida; Mytilidae.
CAAAGGUCAACUAUAUUUGGUGUAUGGAAAUAUAUUAUGAUCUAUAUGUCAGUCCCACAGGUUUUAUUUGACCAUGACCUCAAUUGCACGGUUCAUUGCACAGUGUUAAGUUUUUGUGUUUUGGUCUAUUUUUCUUAAACUAUAAGUAGUAGGUCAACUAUAUUUGUUGUAUGGAAGCUUUGUUAGCUGGACAUGUCUGCCUGGCAUGGUUCAUCUGACCUUGACCUCAUUCUCGUGAUUCAUUGGUCUUUGUUUAGCUAUCUUGGUUAAUGUUAUGUUUAUGUGACAGUUGUAAUAAAGCUUUAUACUUAGGACUAUCAACAUAAUAUCAAUGAUCAGUAAAGAAGGCGAGACAUUUCAGUGUGUG